GCUGUAGCUCAGUGGCAGAGUGCUUGCCUAGCAUGUGUGAAGCACUGGGUUCGAUCCUUAGCAUCGCA
This 68-nucleotide transfer RNA is filed under the name Marmota monax (woodchuck). RNAcentral describes it as "tRNA.Ala". Lineage: Eukaryota; Metazoa; Chordata; Mammalia; Rodentia; Sciuridae. The record is from RNAcentral.